GCUGGAGGCAGCCAUGGCAGCCUGGGCCCCGGUCAGCAGCCCAGCUGGGGCCCUGCGAGUCCGUCUGCCGGAUUUCCUGUGAGUGGAGGGAGAGAGCACCCAGCUCUGCCCAUGGGUCAUUGUGCCUCAUCCACUCCUCGUAGGUAUAGUGCGGAGGGCGGCGCCCUGUGUGGGAGAAAGCCCUUCCAUGGUAGAGACCCCUCCCUCCAGCGGCAGCCAGUGCCCCCACCACACUCAGGACGUCCUUAAAGCCCGGGCUCCUCCUCCGUCAGCGGUUUAACUGGCCACGGUUCUGGUUCUGGCAAUGAACAGAUUCCAGUGAUUUAAAUGGCCUGCCUGCCCGCAGGCUGGCCCAGGGCAGAGCCUCUGCCUCUUCCCGCCUCCAGGACCACAGAGAGCCCAGGCACGACUUCCCCGGGCUCUGGCAAGGUCUGUCUGCUCUGACGCUGGAUCCUUGGGAAUCCCGAGGACUCUGCUGCCUUCCAGCACACACGGAGGAUGGCUCAGGACAUGCUUCUGCCUCCCAAGAGCCUCCUUGUCUGUGACCAGCUGGAAGGAGAGAGCCAGGUCAGAACUCUGGCCCCCCGGGAGUGAGCCUGCUGCUGGCCUGCUGGGAUGUGUCUUAGUGCAGCCCUCCCCAGCGAUGUCGCUGACCUGGGCCGAGGCACCCAGUCUUUACUCUGGCUGUCGGGAGAACCUUUCCUUCACUGCCAGCCCCAGGGCUCUGAACAGUGGCUAAGCUUCUCAGGGCUGGCUCUUCAGAGAUGCGCUGCGCCUUCAGGAGGACUGUAGAA
Molecule: long non-coding RNA, 794 nt
Filed under: Vombatus ursinus (common wombat)
Lineage: Eukaryota; Metazoa; Chordata; Mammalia; Diprotodontia; Vombatidae
Description: lncRNA (ENSVURG00010020216.1)
Source: RNAcentral